UUCCUUGUGGCUCAGAUGGUAAAGAAUCUGCCUGCAAUGCAGAAGACCCAGGUUCGAUCCCUGGAUCAGAAA
RNAcentral lists this transfer RNA (72 nucleotides) under Bos taurus (domestic cattle). It matches the Rfam family "tRNA". From Rfam's summary of the family: Transfer RNA (tRNA) molecules are approximately 80 nucleotides in length. RNAcentral also lists the same sequence under 4 other names. The record is from Rfam by way of RNAcentral. Lineage: Eukaryota; Metazoa; Chordata; Mammalia; Artiodactyla; Bovidae.